GAGAUUGUUAUAUUUAGUUUGCGGGGGAGAAGUUUGUAGCAAAGGCCCAAGCAUUGUUGGCGACUGGGUCGGCAAGGUGGUCGUAUAGGUUCUCAAUUGGACCUUUACCGGUCACAAUAGCUUGGACGAAAUAUCCGAACAUCGAGAACAUAGCCAACCGUCCGUUCUUAACCUCUUUGACCUUCAAUUCGGUGAAGGCCUCUGGGUCAUCAGCUAAGCCCAAUGGGUCGAAUGAGCCUCCUGGGUAAAGUGGGUCAAGACCAUCUCCAAGUGGACCUCCACCAACGCGGUAUCCUUCGAUAAAGCCCAUCAAAACAACUUGGCAAGCCCAUAUGGCCAAGAUGCUUUGAGCAUGGACCAAGUUAGGAUUGCCUAAGUAGUCAAGCCCACCAUCUGAGAAGAUUUGAGAUCCAGCUUUGAACCAAACGGCUUCACCGAAUUUAACUCCGUUCUUUGAUAGAAGCUCUGGAAAGACACAACCUAAGGCGCCCAACAUGGCCCAUCUGCAAUGGAUCACCUCAAGUUCACGGUUCUUUGCGAAGGUCUCUGGGUCCGCUGAUAGACCGGCUGUGUCCCAACCGUAGUCACCUGGGAAUUCACCAGUUAGGUAUGAUGGAGUUUGCUCAGAGAAUGGACCCAAGUACUUGGGACGGUCUGCGCCGUACCUGAGAAGUUCCAAAGAAGUAGAAGAGAGGAAGAACAAACAUAUUAAUUAUGCACCUUACUAUGAUACCAUGUUAGAAUGGAUUAUAAGAAGAAAUAACAUGGUCGUACCAAACGCUGUCGGGAGUGCUCUUCACUGUGCGGCGCAUAGAUAUGCGACUCUCGAAGACUCCAACUUUGCGGACAAGUUCAUUUUGUUGCUUCAAGGUUGUCUGACCAACAAAGACAGAUUGAUGAAUCGCAGAGGUGGCCAUUCCUUGAGCUUCAAAAUGGAAGAGAACGAAUAGUUUUUUUUUGCUGUGUUCUUUGAUUUUUCAAACGGACUGGUGUGCUUUUAAAAUAAGUGGUUCAUUCAUUUUAAUGGUCCCCCUAGAUAAAAUUUAGAUUUCAAUUGGAUUAGGAUUUUCAGGAUUGGUCCAUUGUACUGAUGCCAUGUGGAAAACAUAUCUGGUGACAUGGCAUGAGGAUUAGAUUACAGCCAAUUGUGCAAAAGCCAUAUGGCAAACAGAUCUAGUGACAUGGCAAGAAGAUUAGAUUACAACCAAUUGUAUUAAAGUCACAUGUACAACAGUACAAGUCAUAUCUAGAGAUGGAUAAAAUUAAAACCCUUAAUUUUAUUUGUUUAAAAAAACACAAAUAAAAUUUAAAAAAUGAUUUUAAUGCGGUAAAAAAACAAAACAAAAACUAUUACGUAAAUUACUUCAUCUCCUCCAUUUCAAAAUCAGAAGCUACUUCUCCAUCCACAAGCCCAUUCUUUCCUAAUAAAACAGCAGUCAUCAUCAGUUUACCGGCAUCAGGAAAAUCCUUAUGCUGCAUCAAUAAUUCCUGCACAGAAUCACAAUUCAAACUUGGGGAUAAUCGCCUGUUAGUGUGCUCCAUGUGAAUCGGAAAGAUGUUAUCCAAUUCUCCACCACCUUCCACAUAAAAUUUAUGCGAACAUUUGUAAAGAAGUGUUUCUGUUAGAAACAUCUGAGUGGUUUCGUCACUCCAUCCUUCGGUCUGUGAUCUCUGGUGGAGGGAUAUCCAAUUGUCAUGAUCGGCUGCAGUUCGCCAACAUUGUUCAAGAAGAGGUUUAUUCGUGAGAUGGAAUGUUGAGGGACUACAUACAAAGACGUCAAAUGCAAGGAGCGUGAGGUUUGGAGAUUUUUGAUUGAUACAGGUUUCAAUUAAGGUUUUUGCUGAGAUUAUUGUUGGUGAUUCAUCUAGAGUAGCUUCAACAUUGUGAAGCUGUAGCUGCUUUGUGAUCUCUUCCUGAAAGAAUUUAAAGAUAAAAAUUAAAGUAUGUACUCGAUAGACCGACAAAGAGAAAGUCAGUAGUAUAUCUGAGAAUCUCAAAACCCUAAACAGUUUUAAAAUUUUAUUUACAACUAAUGGAGUUUAGCUUUGAAGAGUAAAAAAUUUAAACCUUAUUACGAGUUUACACUUCACAGUCAUUCCAUCAUUAUUAUUUUAUCAAAAAAACCAUUAUUUCAUCUCUCUUCCAUAAUUUAUCAUUUUAAUUUUUUGAAUGAAAAUCAAGCAAUUACGAUAGGCCAUGGGGUAAAUAUAUUAUAGGAAGCACUUCCUAUAAAGUUAGAUAUGGGUACGAUAUCAAGAAAGUCCUAACCGAAGACAAGGGGAAGGUAGAGAGCAGAAGAAAGACAAGGAGAAGAAGUUCGGCAAUCGGCAAAGAUCUCGUUAUCAACCACCUCCUUUCUCUCAUCUCUGAAAAGGCUCUACUCGCUAAAAGAAGGUACGGGUUUAGCGCAUGGAAGGAUGAUAUACUCUCUGAGAACCUCCUCUGGCCAGAAAACCUAAAAGGCUAAAAUUGAAGAAUAGGAUUCAUUAUAUGACAAUAGAGGAGUAAGUCCAUUGAUACAAGUAUCAACCGAAGCUUAUAUUUGUAACACCAUAUUGGGGUUUAGGAUUUAAAGGAUAAGUUAAACCAAGAGUAAUAUACAUAUUAUAGGAAACAAAAAAGUAAAAAACUCAAUAGAAUGAAUUGAUAUUUGAGAAAUCGAAUUAAUAAGGAGAAAUGGAGAAACCAGAAAUUGCAAUAUGAAUUUAAUACCUGUAACUUUAAAAUCUUUAAAUCGGCAUCUAUGCUCUUUAUCUUUGAUUCAAAACCAGCAACUCUUCCUAUCAUCAUAUUAUAACGAAAUUAGAUUGAGGUUAAGAAUUGUGUGUAAAAAUACAUGAUCUCGCUGUUUAUGUUAUUAAAAUAUAUAUACAUAAACAUAAUUAUAUACAUUUUUUUUGUAAACAGAAUAUUUUCAUUAAUAAUAAUGAAGGGUGAUAUAAAUUAUAAUACCCUGGAAUUACAAAGUAGAAGAGAUGACAAAAUGUGGUGGGGUGGAUAGAGUGGUCUCCCACAACUAUCAACCUUCUCCUAUUAGUCCUAUAUAGCAUUUGCCCUUAGUGAUAUAAUAAUUAAGAACUGCCUCAGGAGGUUGGACUCCCAAACCGUUGCAUUGUAGACUUGUAGUCUCCUCCAUUUGUGAGCCACAAGUCCACAACCUCCUCUUAAAGAUUUCGAGUCUGAAAGAGAGGCUGAAGUCACUAUAUUCAAAAAAUUGCUUUAUACUAAAAUAUAUUAUAAAAUUGUCACAACCUUGCAAGGUUUCAGAUGCUUUGAAUACACAGAUAAAAAUUCACAAGUGAUUGUAAUUUAACAAGAAAUUAAUUAGACAAAUAAUAUGAAAUACGCAUCAAGGUUUUCUAUGCGUCUAUGCGUUCAUGCGAUGACAUUUUAAGCAUAUAAGUAUAUGCGUGCAUAUACGCGCAUAUAUGUAAAUAUGCGACAUGUUAUAUUUACAUGUAUUUUUUAAAAUUACCCCUGAUAUUUCCAUAAUAUAUGAAUAAUAUAAUAUAGCAAAAAGUGUUCCAAUGACCCAAUAAAGUUUAAAAGUCUAAAUAGUAAAUAGAAAUUGCAUAACAAAGUCUAAAACUAUAUAAUUAACAAUAGUCUAAGGCUCUAAGCUCUAAGGGGCUUGCUCAACAUCCUCUUCAACUUCAGCUCUAAGGAACGCUCACCGGAGUUCUACUGCUGGUCAGCCUGGUCCGUUAAUGUCCGACGGAAGGGAGGGGGAAGGGAGGAGGAAACUUAGGGUUAUUUUUCUAUGCGUUUUGGUUUUUUUUUUUUAAAUUUUUAUGGGUAAAACCCUAUUAUCCAACCCGACCCAUUGACCCGACCCGCCCCAGACCCGCAAACGCAUAGAACAUCUAUGCGAGGGUCUGGAAAACCGCAUGGUCGUUUAUGCGGCGCAUAAACGCCGCAUAGAAAACCAGGAUACGCAUUAUAAAACAAGCUGUAAAAACACUUGCUUCAAAAAAUACUCCAAUAUUUUAAAAUUGAAUCUUUUUAUUUAAAUGUGCAAUUCUUUGAAUACCCUAGUCUGGAGACAUUGUAAUUUCAAAAUAGGAUAGUUCAUAUGAGGCAUCAAUAAUAAUGGAUUAUGACUUAUGAUAACCAUAUUUUUUAUUAAAUAAAAGAUUAAAAAAACUGCAAUUUUACUAUACCUGCCAUAGCAGAUAUUUUUGCAAGAUUUAGUAAACGCUUUCUUUCUUCUAAGGUUGUUCUAUUCUUUGGUAAUGUAGGAACUAUGUUAUCAUCCUCAACCAAUGAUAUAGAACCAUCACCACCAAUAUCAUCGAUCAAAAGAGCUAGGUCAUGAAGGGUAUUUGAUACAGAAGCAAAUUUAUUUAAAAACACAUCAUGAAGCCAUUGUAAAUCUUUGUGCUGCUUUAAAUAACUAGACAACUCUUCUUGGAAUUCUUCUCCAAGUCGAAAAAGCUUGGAGAAUUGCUUCUGCUGGUAGAAUUGUUUAAACACAAAAUAGCUGAAUCCACCAGUGGGACCAACACUCUCGUUCUGCAUAAGAAUACAAUUUUUUUCAAAAUUAUAUUUGAUAAAAAAACUGAUUGAAUUGAUGCAACUGGCAAUGGUCAAACUAAAUCAUGUUGAGAAAGAAAUAUAUGAUUGUCACCCUUAUUACAAGAAACGGGAGAUAGAAGGAAAAAAAAAAUAUUUGUAGAAGAAAAGAUAUUAAGGAAUUAAAGAAGCCAAAGAAAGUCAUAAUACCAUGAGGUUUCGAAGAAGCCCUACAUCAUGAAGAUCAUAGCAGAUAUUCCACAAUGUUUGAUAGCCUUCAUGCCGUUUUGCAGUUAAGAGUAAAGUAUGUGAAAUCUCUCGAAAAAUAUUUUCUCUUAGCUUAGGAUUAUCCUCAGGUCCUUUACAUAUUUCCUGUAAAAAAUGGAACUUUAAACUUCAAUUUAAAAUAAAACAAUACAUGAUUCAAAUCAUGUAUUGAAAAUGUAAUAAGAAAAUAUUAAAAUAACAUCAAGCUGUAAUUUACUUGACAGAGCAAAGCACACAACGUAUCCCUAUUCACCAUGACUAAAUUGAUUAAAUAAUGAUAAACUACAGAUUUGAAGGCGGCGCUUAAGCACGCUUACCUCUCCUAGAGAAGCGCUUUUUCCAAGGUGGGUUAUUGGAUUGGGUAAAGAUCCGUAUGAUUAUCCGAUUAGAUGUAUUUAAUUAUUUUUAAAAAACAUAAACUAUUUUUAUUACCAUUUUUACCACUAGUCUUUAAGUUAGAUUAAAAUCUUUUAAACGUCUUCCCCAAAACCCUAGAUUUUAUAAAAAAAGCUUUCCCUCUUCUCCCUUGUGACCUCGCCGGAGAAGCCACUCCUCACUGGAUUUCAGCCUUACGUUACUGGAGUUGGCUCCUACUUCGUUUGAAGACUUGCCUCAGCCUCCUCUACGGUUUUCCUCUAUAAGGUAAGUAUUCCCCUUUCUAAAAAACCACCACUUACCCAAACGAGGUUGGCCGGAUUCGAUGUAUCUCCUCUUCACACAGCCUGUUAAUAUACUCAUUCUGAUAAAUCAAUAUUUUAGAUACACUACAUGAGGAAGCGUUCACUCAUGCAUUCAGGUCUGAAUACAAAUCGGAUCCGAAGCAGAAUACAAUCCAAAACUCAUAUAUUUAAAGGGUAAAAACUACAAAGUAAAAACCUGUUUUUUACUACCCCCCUAUUUCUUACACUACAUGUUCUCCAACAUUCUCUCUGGUAAAACUCUCAAGACCACAGACGACAAAUCUGCCGCACCAAUUUCCUCCUCCCUCCCCCCACCUUCUUUUUGAAGAACUUAAGUUUCUCGUUAUUGAUUGAAGGACAUUGCUCUGGAAUACAAUGAAGUUCAUCAAAUAAAAAAAAAUGGAGAUGAGCACUAGGCUCAUCUUGACACUUUCCACUCAACCAUAUUGCUUAAUAAGAAUUAGGUUGUCUGUCUCAGGAAGUAAGUCUUCCAUAUCUGUAUCAUGCUGGUCUUCAAAGGAUGACAACAGCUCUUCUUAAAGCAUUCAGGCUUGAAGGAGAUGCUCGUCACUAGUGCAUGUCUCCCAUAUCUUUCCCUCAUCUUUUUCUUUGGUUUUUUUAAUCAUUUAUAUUAUUAUUUCUUAUACAUGCAUGUUGAUUCUAAUGACACCUAUAUUAAAUGUAAAAUAAUACAAUUAUUUAAAAAGAAAAUACUAAAAUUUCUGCAGCUAAUAUCACAUAAUGUCCACAUGUGUCUCAUUCAAUCACUUUUAAGCGCAUGUCUGAAUAAAAAAAUCUUAAACUAAAUCAAGACUUAUUUUAUCUUGCUUUCUCAUAAAAAUUUAAUAACUGAGAAUAUAAGUCUUAGAUAAUAAUCUAUUCUUUACUACAUGAUAAAAGUAUGCAAAUCUACUUAAAACUAUAUAAAGCUCAAUUGAAAACAUAUAGGAACUUUUCAUUCUUCACGAGUUGGAAAUAAUGAAGAAAUUAUUUUAUAAAAAGUGAGAAAAUGACAAAAAACUAUAACUCAAGUGUAUAAGGAAAAAACAUGACUUUUAUUUUACCUGGUACUUGUAUUCUGUGAAAUCCAUUGCUUGCUUGUACAAAGCAAAAAGAAGAACAUCUCUUCUAUGAUGAUAUUCUUCAAUAAGACUUUUGGAUUCAUCUCCACAUUCAAUUCUUGAUGUGAUUGAAUUCAUAUAUGACUCAAGUAAAAUAUCAGUCAAUAAUUCCAACUGGGAACGUAAAAUGGAUUUAACAGAAAAAUGGGUCGAUGAAGCUUGACUCAAAAGAUGUGUAACAACAUUUGUUAUACUCCAUAAUCCUGUCCGAACUACUGGUUGGCAAUUCCAACUAAUCAAUCCUUCAGGUGAUGGAUACCAUGUUUGAUGUUGCCUUCUAUAAUCUAGCGCACCAUGUACAAUAGUCACACAAGCAUUUGAGAUUUCGUAGGCUCUUUUCAUUUGAACCACAUUGUGAUGGUUUUCACCGACCAUAUAAUGUAUAUGAUGAGACACGCAAGAGAAAAGUUCAUCAAGUUCAGAAAUUUUACUGUAAAAGACUUCGGCAUUAUCACGGUCCAUUAGAAGAACAGUGUGCCUACGAGAUUUGUCGCCUACUAACUGGAUAAGAUCCCAGAGAGCUCCAGAAGUGGGUUCAUUGAAUAAGUGAGAGGAUUGAAACUCAGGCUCGAACCGCUCGGUUGAACGAUUCUGGCUAAGUUGAUUCUGGAAAUCUCUUAGUUGAAUCAUGCAAAAAAGUUUCUCUCCAUUUUCAACGAUAAUUUGCAAAGAAUGCCCUGUUAGAGGAAAAUAAUAUUAAUGAAUAAGACUUAAAAAUGCAAUGCAUAUAACACAGAUUAUCAGUCACAGGCUCACAGCACUAUUGGAAAACAAAUUUUUGUUCAUUCAUUUUAACGACAUUAAAAAAAAUGCAACCUAGCACAAGGAUUUUACCUUUUAGGGAUUUUAAAAUUUAAAUCACUAAAAAGAGAGACAAACGGACCGGACCCACCACUAAAAAGAGAGACUUAAAAAUGCAAUGCAUAUAACACAGAUUAUCAGUCACAGGCUCACAGCACUAUUGGAAAACAAAUUUUUGUUCAUUCAUUUUAACGACAUUAAAAAAAAUGCAACCUAGCACAAGGAUUUUACCUGUUAGGGAUUUUAAAAUUUAAAUCACUAAAAAGAGAGACAAACGGACCGGACCCACCACAAUGAUUUGAAUAUUUUAUAUUAAAAUUAAUAGAAAGGAAGAUAAGAAAAGAGUGCAUACUCUGCUUCAAAGACAAUUCCUCAUGGCACUUUGACAAGGCUAGGAACUGAAGAUACCUUUCGUGUUUCUGUUUCUUGUCUAAAAGUUGUGACACCACAGCAGAAGAAGAAAGAAAUUCUGUACCUCUUGAAGCCGUCCAAUGCUUAGCAAGAGUGUCAAUUAUAGACUUACUCAUUCGAACAAACACAUUAGCUUCACUUUUCUUUUCAAAUGCCCCACUGUUUUCAAGCUUCUCAAAGGCUCCUUCCUCUACUUCCCCAGACAAAAGAAAUUCAUGAAAAAAAUGUCCAAGCAAAACUUCUGAUUCUUCGUCUAAAGGAGUGUAUUGUUGGUUCAAACCUCCAAAAUUGUUGCCAGCAAGAGAAGAAAAACUUUUACAAACAGCAUUGUUUCUCUUAUCUUCUUCGAGAACUCCACCACUCAAGCUCUCAAUACGUGACACACUCCUCGUCGGAGGCUCAACGCUACCAAGUACAAUUGCCGUUUCUGGUAUAGCCCAAACUCCAGCAUUUUCCGUUAAGACAACCCAUGCCCCUUCUCUUUCUCUUUCGUCUUUGGAAGAUGGAAGAAUUGAAACAUCUAGGACUUUGCCACCGUCAAAAGGUAAAUCGAAUUUAUAAAGUUUAAUUGAACCUUGAGAAUGAUUUGUCACGGUUGCCGUUCCAUCGCUAGAGAGUAUGAUUACCGAGCCAUAUGGUUUCCCACCUACACAAAGUUUCAUAGAAAGUAAAACACUCUCAUCUUCAACCUUGGCUUUCGGAAUUAAAACUUCUAGGGGAUGUUUCCUCUCCAAAACUCUUACUGGACUGUAAUCUUCGAUGGAUAUAUUUCUAUCUGCCUUAUAAUGCAGAGUCAAGAGAGAAUAUUGUGUGUAGCUUGAACUCAUAAUUCGAUCCUUACAAAAUGUGGCUACGAGUACUGUGAAUUCUUUACCAUCUCUGUCAAUUUGCAUAUCUAAAAGCCAUAUAUCUUUCUGACCAGCAAGAUUCUUUUUUAUUCCCAACUCGCCAUCUGUACUGACUAUUUCAUGAGACCAAAGGUGGGUUACUUUUGGAUGGUCUGGAGAUUGCAGAAUGAUGUUCCAACAUUGGAUCUCAUGAUCGACUAAUAAAAAGAACUGCCGACUGGAUGAAUCUAUUUCCUUCUCACCUAAUAAGUCAAAGGUCUGAAAACGCCAUGUAAGUGAUCUGGCAUGUGCUUUUUUAUCAAUCUCAGGGCUUUUGAUCAAAACCUCUCUUUGGGUAAUACUCAUUGGAGUGCAAUGGAAAGACCAUAGAUGACCAUUGGAAUGACAAGCAAGGGAUGCAACUUCGUACGAUGAAUUGGGAAUUGAAGAAGAUAUCAUAGAGUUGAUAAGAAAACCAUCAGUGAUUGAAUAUUUUUCUUCAUUUUGGGGUUGCCAUAAGAUUGGAGCAUGGCCAUCUUCAGUGAAAAUAUCAGGCCAGUAGAUUAUAGAUUGAUACUUCCGAUGACAGAUAACCAGCCCAAUGGAAGUUUUCUUUUUUAAUUUAAUUAAAGAAACUAACCAAGGAUUACGAUAAUCACACCUCACAGUUGAAUCAAUGUGUAUGAGUGCCAAAACAGAUGAUGGGAGUUGAAGAAGUACACAUUUUCUUGCAAACGACGGAUCAAAGUAGCUCCAAAUAAAGAUGUGUUCUUGACAGAUCAUCCAUGCCAUACUCGUAGCCCUGUCCAUGCCACCGUAGAAGUUUUUUCUGAUUCCUGUUUCCCAUGCUCAUUAUCAAAACAAAAGGCACAACAAUACACCUUUGAAAUUUGAUUUUUGAUAUAAUCAUAUUUAGAGUACCUGUGCGUGUUUUCUGCAGACAAUUGGUUUGGGCAGUACGAACAAUUUCAGGGAUUUCACCAAUAUAAGUGGGUUGGACUAGAUCAGUGUUGAAAGCAUUUUCUUCGUUCUUAGUUGGAGUUAUUCUGGGUAUAAAAAUUGCGUCAAAAAAAUCAAUGAAACAUCAGAUUCAUAGAAAUAAUAAAUAUGUAAGUAAUAUAUUAAUUAUUAUUAAGUAUAGAUUGCCCAAUACCCAAAAACUCUAGAAUAUUUGUUAUUAUAAUAUACCCAAUACCCCUAGAGAAUUGAACACCUGAAAUGUUGACGUGAUUGAUUUAUUACCUAGCGAGAACUGAGACACGUGAAUUCCACGGAGCAGGAGUACCAGUGGCCGGUCGGCCAUGACCAUUGGAAGAAUCUGGAGCGAAAGGAUCAGGUGCCGGCGUGGAUUGAGAGUCCGACGGUCCAUGAUCCCUGUUCUUGUCCUUGGAGAAUACGAGACGGGACUUCCGAAUCGCAGGAGUGAACAUCGGAAGAUGGAGAAUCGAACCUAGAAUUCAGAUUUGGAGAUGGAGAUGGAAAAAAUCACUGGGAAUUCGCCAGGGUUUUGUUUUAGGGUUUUGAAGUGGUAGGACUGUAGCCUGUAGGUCUGUAGGAGUGAAGAAGAAAUAGGAGUACCGAACAAUUGGGACAAACCCAAAAAGAUAGAAAACAGAGGGAUUGAUUUGUUAUAAAUGUUAAAAGUUUGAAUUUUGGGAUAAUAUUAUUUUAAUACCUAGAAUUUGGAUAUUUUAUGAAACUACUAAUUAUUACAGUUGAAUCUUAAAUAAGAUAUUUAAAUUUUAUGAAAGGUAAAAGGUUUCGAAAAAAAUAAUUUCAUUGUUCACUCACACACUAUCAUUCAGACAAAACUUAUCUUUCUAUUAUAAGUGAAAGAUUUUUAAUCAUUUUAACUAUCCCUCUCCCAACGGUCUUGGAGGUAUUUAUACUAUCCCACAGGUCUUGGAGGUAUCCAACGAUCCAUAUGAAUAUAUUUCUAAAUCUAAGAUUUCAUUUGUUUAAUGAUGUUUUUUCACAAUGAAAAGCAUGAUGUGGUCUAGAUGCACUUGGAUUUUGAGUAAAGAAUGAAUAUAAUCUAUUUCUGGCAUUUCCUUUGAUCAAGACUUCGUUUGUGUUCCUAUCUUUCACAAUCACCUUAGAUAUAUCAAAUUCAUAAAUAAUAUUAUGAUUUUGACACAUUUUCUGAAAAGAAAGUAAAUUCUUAGAUGUGGCAGAAAUGCGUAAAAAAUCUUUUAAAUGUAAUUUUUUUGCAAUUACAAAUAAAAAAAGUAGUUCUUACGUUAUAUGUAAAAUGUUCAUACCUUCUCCAUUUGCAAUUGUGACUCUGUCACCUCUUUUAUAUGGAGCUGCUAGACUAAGGUUCUCAAAAUCAGAAGUGAUAUGAGUUGAAGCUCACGAGUCAGGAAUCUACAUACUAGAGUGAGUCACUUCUUAUGAUUGUAAAGCUACUAUUGCUACUUCAUCUGACAAAUUUCCUAUAGAUCGCGUCAUGGUAGCAAAUCUUUUUCACAUACUCCCUUAACAUUUCAGUUUCUCUUUGUUCAAUGUUGAGUUGGGUCGACGUGCUAUGUGAUCUUCUUCUGAACAAGAAAACUGGGCUACGCCCACGGGAUUAGCCACGGCCAGCAGAAGCCGUGGCUAAUUGUUAGAAAUUAGCCACGGCUUUUUUAGCCAUGGCUAAGCCCGUGGCUAAUCUUUAUAUUUAGCCACGGAUUUUUGAAUCCGUGGCUAAUCCCGUGGCUAAUUUUCCCGGCAAAUUUCCCUCCAAUUUUUCAUUGAAUAUUUAGCCACGGCUCUUAAAAUCCGUGGCUAAAAUUUGCGGCAAAAUUUCCCUCCAAUUUUCCACUGAAAUUUGCCCACGGAUUUAGCCACGGAUUUAGGAGCCGUGGCUAAUUUAGUGACAAAUAAAUUAGCCACGGAUAUUAGCCACGGCAUUUAGCCCUGGCUAAUAAUGAUAAUAGGGUUAGGGUUAAUGUAAAUGUAAAUAAUUAGGGUUAGGGUUAGGAUUAGGAUUAGGAUUAAUAGAAAUUAACAAAAAUUAGUAAAAAUAAGUAUAUAUACAUAUUUAGAUAGUGUUAGGGUUAGAAAUUAGGGUUAAAAGUAAGAGUUAGAAGUAGAAGUUAGGGUUAGAAGAAGUUAGAUUAUAGUUUUUUAUAUAUUAUAAAAUAUAAAAAAUUUAAAGUUAGAUUAUAAUUAGAUAAUUAUAAAAUAUGUGAACCUUAGCGAUGGGGAACUUCAUCAAAAAACAGAUUGUUUAUUUUAUGGUUGGUUCAAAAACCGCUUGAAACCGAUAGAAGAAGAUGAGCGUUUGCGUGUUCUCUCAAAAGACCCAAAUCGAGAAGUGACGUGUUACAAGAGUUACAUUAUCAAUGGAUUUAGAUUUCACAUAAAGAGUGAGGAUAUUUUAAAAAAAACUCAAAACUCUGGAGUGAUGAUAAAGGGAAGUGCAUACGAAGGUCUAGAGGAAAAUAACUACUAUGGAGUUCUUCUUGAUAUUAUCGAAUUGGAUUUCCUUGGCGAUAUGACUCGAGUAGUUAUGUUCAAAUGUGAUUGGUACGACAUCCACAAAGGAACGAAAAUUGACCGUUCGAAAAAUGUAUCGAUCAACAUACAUACUAAACUUAGAGCAUAUGAACCCUUUGUUCUAUCUCAACAAGCAGAGCAAGUUUUCUACGCACCAAAUGUCUCCCAAAAGAAUAAAGAUUGGCAAACUGUCAUCUGAACAAAAGCUAGAGAUCGUUUUGACAUUCCAGAGGAAGAGGGAGAUACAUAUCAAGAUGACUUUAAUGAGUUCCCUUUAAAUCUUCUUGAUGAUAAUAACAUUGAUAAUGUAUCUCUAAAUGUGGAUGGCUCGUUUGAUGUUGUUUCAUUCGCACCUGACCCCACUUUACAUGAAGAGAGUGAGAGUUAUGUCGAAGAUGAAACAGAAAAUUUUAAUUCUGAAGAUGAAUGUUCUAUAUGAGUCGCCUGAGUGAGUUAUAUGUUUUAUACUUUCAUUUUUUUUUCCAAGCAGAAUAAUUUCAUUUUAUUUAUUCAUUUAGAAAAUAUUCCAUUAGAAAUGGCACGCGGACGAAGUCGUAAACGAACAAACGACGGACGAUCACAAUCUGCAAGAAUAGAUCAAGAAAUCGUAGAGGACCGCUUCGAUGAAGAACAUCGAAGAAAAUGGACAAAAGGAUUGAGACAACCGGAUGCACCAACUCCCGCCACUAUUCUUAAGAGCGGGUGAGUAUUAAUUUUCAUUAUAAUUCAUUAUUUAAUUUGAUUGUUUUUUAUAGGACUUUUACAAACAAUGUAAGAAGCCAAAUAGGAAUAUUAGUAAAAGGUAAUAUAACGUCACCUUUAACUAAAUGGACUUCUUGGAAAGAAGAGGAAAAGGAAAAUAUUUUCGUCAAAUUUCUGGUAUGAUUUAUUUAUUUAUUUGUCAUUUUUUCCAUAUGUCAUUUUUUUCCAUAUGUAAUGUUUUCGUCUUUAUGUAGUGCUAUUUCUCAUUUGAGGACAUUCAAUUGGCUCGUGAAUGUUUUGAUAAUUAUGUCCAAUUAAAUUAUACAUGUUGGUUGUAUAAAGCGAGACAAGAGGCAAAGAAAUUGGCAAAAGUUGACACACUUACCAGAUCUUGCGCUAGAUUUCCACCGAUAUACCUUUCUGCGGAAGUAUGGAGUGAAAUGAUUGAAAUGUGGUUAAAAGAAGAUUGGAAAAAAAGAUCAGAAAAAGCAUCAGAAAAUAGGACAAACAAUCCAGAUUACAUGCCAUACACGGGUGGAUCUUGUUCAGUUGCGGCCACUCAUGAAAGAAUGGUAAAAAAACAUUUCUUUCAUAUAUUUUACAUUUAUCAUUCUAAUUUUUUUGAGUAUAACAAUCAGAAUGAAGAAGCUGGUCAUGAAGUUGGUCACUGUGAGGUUUAUAAGAAAACACAUAGUUUGGCUAAGACAAACGACUGGGCCCAUCCAAAGGGAGGAUGCUUCAUUGUAAGAAAAUUCGUUAGAAAUGCUUCGUUUUAAGAUAUUUAAGUCAUAUUUUUUAUUUAUUAUUGAUUUUCAUUUUUAUAGGCUGACUAUAAUGAGCUUCAAAGAAAUGCUAUGGAAGCAGGAAAUUCUGAAAUCAACUCAUCUAAUGGAUCACACACACUCCCUGAUAAUUUAGAAUUAUGGGUCAAAGCUACUAACGGAAAAAACAAAGGUCGUGUGCUUGGAACCAGAGCAAGUGAUCCAAUGCCAUUACCAAUUCCUGAUAAUAUGGCGACUUCACAGAACACAACGACGAAUUAUAUAGAAAUUCAACAACAAAAAAGUAAAGAAGACUUUGAUCGGGCAGUUCAAGAGGCCAUUAGAAAACAGAUGCCGGAUAUACUAAAGGAACUAAGGGAAGACUUACGUCGAGAGACGAUUGAGGUAAUUAGCAUUUAUAUAUAUAUCAAUAUUCAUAUUUUCUUUAUAAUUUCAAUUUUUUUUUACAUUAGGGUCAGUCGAGCCAAGGACGCGACAACAUAAUCACGCCUACUACAAGAGAUUCAAAUGUCGAAAAUGUUGGCAAAAAAGCGACUCAAAGUCCGACUAAAAGUGGGACGAAUAGCGUGACUGACACCAACAAAUAGGUUCCUCUUCUUUUAUCUUUUGGUUUAGUUUUGUUUUGAAUAACAUGAAUUGUAUGAAUGGUAUGUUUUGUUGGUUAUUGAAUGGUAUGUUUUGGAAUGGAAUGGUAUGUUUUGUUGGUUAUUGAAUGAUAUGUUUUGGAAUGGAAUGGUAUGUUUUGGAAUGACAAUAGGUAUGGAAUUGAAUGGUAUGUUUUGGAAUGAUUGGUUGAAUGUUUUGGAUAAUUUUUAGGGAUAUUGAUUGGUUGAAUGAUUGGUUGAAUGAUUGGUUGAAUGGAAUAUGAAUGUAAAUAUAUGUUUGAUUGAUUUUUUUAGGUUAUAUGAAUGUGUAAGACCUUCAAUAGGCGUCUUCUAAAAUGUAAAUAUUUCCUACAAUUUUUUUAGAAAUUAGCCACGGCCUUUUGGCAUUUAGCCACGGAUUUUGGCCGUGGCCCUUCACUUUCUACUCUGUUUGAAGGAUUUAGCCACGGCCAAUUAAGGAUUAGCCACGGCCAAAAUCCGUGGCUAAAUUUAUUUAAGGAUUUAGCCACGGGAUUAGCCACGGAUUUUGGCCGUGGCCCUUCACUUUCCACUCUGUUUGAAGGAUUUAGCCACGGCCAAUUAAGGAUUAGCCACGGCCAAAAUCCGUGGCUAAAUUUUAUUUAGCCACGGAAAAAUAAGAUUAGCCACGGAUUUUACAGUGACUAAUUUUUAACAUUAGCCACGGAUUUUGGCCGUGGCUAAAAUAAAUGGCCGUGGCUAAUAUUAGCCACGGAAAAUCAAUUCCGUGGCUAAAAAUUAGUAGCCACCACACCUACAGCCACGGCCACUCCCGUGGCUAAUUCCCGUGGCUAAAUCAAUUUAGCCACGGAUUUUGCCAUUUAGCCAGUGAACUUGGCCGUGGCUGUUUCCCUGUUUUCUUGUAGUGACCUAAUGACUAUAAGCUUGUCGAAACAUGCUCUUGAUCAACUGAGUGAACAUCUUGAUACUGCCCUUAGGAAGACUUUGGUACCAACAAAUCACUCUUUCUCUCAAGGUUCUUCUGAACAUCCUACACCAUAUGUCCUCUCUAUCAGGCACAUCUUCUAUCCUUGUAACGUUAUGGUCUUUUGGGUCUGUCGCACCGUUAUAGAUGGGCAAUUUGGGCUUUCUCCACCCUUUAGGAUAUUAUUAUUAUUAAUAAUUAUUAUUGUUAUUGAUUACUAUUUAAUAGUUAAAAUUUAAAAACUUAAACUUAAAUUAAAUACUUAAUUAAGCUCUCUAACUCAAGUCUCAAACCCAGAAAUAAAAAAAGUCCUAAACUGAGUGAACAUCUUGAUACUGCCCUUAGGAAGAUUUUGGUACCAACAAAUCACUCUUUCUCUCAAGGUUUUUCUGAACAUCCUAAACCAUAUGUCCUCUCUAUCAGGCACAUAUUCCAUCCUUGUAACGUUAUGAUCUUCUAGGUCUGUCGCACCGUUAUAGAUGGGCAAUUUGGACCUUCUCCACUCUUUUGGAUAUUAGUAUUAUUAAUUAUUAUUGUUAUUAAUUACUAUUUAAUAGUUAAAAUUUAAAGACUUAAACUAAAAUUAAAUACUUAAUUAAACUCUUUAAUCUAUUCUCUAACUCAAGUCUCUAACCCUGAAAUAAAAAAGUCCUAAAUUUGUAUUUAAUAUUUAUUAUUUUAGAUUUAAAAUUAUUUUAUUAAUUUUUUUUUUAUUUGUUGGGCCAGGGCGGAGCAUCUUGUUUUUUCCAUGGUGCCCUAGUGGCCGAUUCCGAGGUAGGAAACAAGGCAAGAGAUUCUGGAAGCUGACCCGUCCCAUUCUCAACCCUAUCUGGAAGUGGGUUUAUUUCUGAAAAAUAAUAGAUGAUGAGAAUAUGAAAUAGGUAAAAAAAUUUAAUUUGAGGCUAUUUUAAUAUAUAUUAUAAAUUUAUCUAUCUGUCCAGAUUUUAGGCUGAUCAGGGCGGUAUUUUUCACUCUGAAUGACUUCAAAUCGGUGCGGGUCGGACCCAUGCUCACUCCCAUAUGCAUAGUAUUGAGGGUUAUUUUGGAUAACCCCUUAAACUAAUUGUUUACCGGAUACAUGAUUCGUAAAAAAAAUGGACGGUUAGAUGUGUUUCAUUUUUGCAUGGUACAAAAAUUAUUGGACUAUCAUGAUAAAGAGAUGGUAACUAUAGUGGAAUCAAUUAAAAAAUGGAAGCACUAUCUCUUAUGCUUGCGAUUUACAGUAAUCACAGAUUACAAUAGCCUAAAACAUCUUUUCACAGUAAUCUCUUUUGCUUGUUCUCUCUACCCCUGAGUGACCCCCUAUUGGACUAUCAUGAUACUCCCUCAUUAUUUUUGGGAUUAAUAUGAACUCUUGGUCUAAGACAUACCUCCUGUUGUAAAAAAUUCUCCCUUCCACCACCAUAAAAUUAAUGUUCCUUUCCAAGUCUUGUUCAAUGCUCACUAUAAAAAAACAGUGUUUUUAUGACAGGUCUCUACUGGCGACCUGGCCGUCGGUAGACUGUACGAGUCCACCAGUCUUAUUACAUCAAUAAUCGGAAUCAGCAAAUUCUUACUGCUGGCCAGGCCGCCAGGAUAAUACAUAUUUGGUGACAACACUACUGGCGAUGACAUAUUGACGGUCGGGCCGUCAGGAUGAAUCAAGUAUGUGCUAAUUAAUUUACAAUAUGAUAAGAGAAUCUAUUAAUUAUUAUUUAAGAUAUGAAGAUCAUAGAAAAUCAUAUAUAUAUAUGAUUUAAUUAUUUCAUCUAUAAAAAACCAUGGAUUAAUCCAUUUAUUCUUCUUAUCUAGAAUAAAUCUUCUAAAUACUGUCAAAAUGGAUUUUGCGAAAUUCUUCAUGUUCUUAUUCUUAUUGGUCGACAAUCUUGUCUCUCUCCCACAAGGUAAAUUAAACCAUUCACUCUUCCGAAAUCUCUUCUGUUCGUAAAUCAGUAUAAUGAAAUCAUCAUUGAGAUUAAUAUUUAUCAAACAUGUUUUCUAUAUGUAUAGGUAGAGUGAUGACGAAACCAACGGAAAUUUAAGCUGAAUUUUUAAAAUAUUGCUGCGAUGAAUUUUUCUCUGCCAGUAUAUGUGUUAUUAUGACAAGGAUGAAUACAGUCAUGCUUGUUAUGAUAAAUGAAUUAUUGUUCAAGAUGUUAAAGCCCACAUAUUGAAGUAGUGUAGAUUUUGUAAUAUUUUUAAUAUAUGGGAAAGUUUUAGAUUGUGUUCCAUUGUAUUCAUAUCGUUGCGUUUAAUUUUGGAAUCUCGAGUUUGAUUUGGGGUUUUCGCUUAAUAUAAGUUCCGUCGUUAAUUUUUAGGUUUUUUUUCAUAACUAAGCAUUUAAUCUAUCUCAUCAUUCUCUGCUUCUGUUCCAACACAGACAUCCACAAUAACUGUUAAUUUGGUUAACUAAGCGGCAAUGGUUCAAAAAAUGAUUUAUUCAGUAGUGUUCUUGUGCCCUCAUCCACUGGCAGAGUGGAAUUAUCUCGUUUUAAAAAUCCAAUUAGAUGGUGCAUUAUGAGGGUAAUUUAGUUUUCGAUAACUUGGAAAUCAUCAGUUAACUACCUAAGUAUGGUUGUAAUAAGUAUUGACUCAAAAAUUGGGUUGGAUUAUUGCCGUCGGUACUCAGGCCCAGAUAAACUGAACCAGGAACCAACCAGACCCCUAAGCCUAGAGGCCCAACCCACCAUUCCACAUAAACUCUAUAAAUAUACCUCAACACCCUUUGCCCAUUGUUAGAAUUCAUAAUAGAAGUGAGAAGGAAAGGAGCGAUUGUAAACAUUAUUGUUGGUGUGAUCAUAUAUUUGUCGUCCCGAGUUAAUCUUGAUCGUGUGUAAGUGUUGUUACGGGAAGGUAACACGUUAGCAUUUACACCAUCACUUAUUGAACUCAAUCUAACGAGCUAAACUUAAGCCUAAUUAGUUCUUAUCGAUAUUAGGGUUUAGAAUGCAGUUUAUCAAGCGGAAACUUGAUGGGAUACUAGAACCAAGCCAUCUUUAUUCCUCAGAUAUUUUAUUUCUCCGACAAUCAUAGCUAAAGUUAGAACUACCAUCACUAUCUAACAUCAUGAAAAGUAAAAGAUUUGAAAAAAUGAUAUCAUAAAAAUCCGCUAUCGAGUUUUGAUCAACAAUCAAGUGUGUUUUAAAUUAAUUUACAGUACUGAAAUGACAAGAGAAUCUACCAGCAAAGAGAUAAGUUAGAUUUAAAGGUCAAGAAGUUUCAAAUUUAAAAUUCUUCAAAAUGCAUAUAUGCAUCCCACAAUGUCAUUUUUCAAAUUAAUUAAACAAAAUCUAGAUAAGAGAUAAUUAAUGAUGUUAUAAACCAGCAAAGAGAUAAGUCAGAUUUCGCUUUCAAAAAAAAAAGUCAGAUUUAACGAUAAAAAAGUUUCGAAUUUAAAAUUCUUCAAAAUGCAUAAAUGCAUUCCACAAUGUUAUUUUUCCUCUAUCUAUAUAUAGAUCUAUCUUUGAAGGUUUAAGAAUUAAACCACAAAUAUAUAAAAAUGGGUAGUCGAGUUCAUGUAAUUCUUUUCGCUUUGGCAAUUUUAUUCACUAGUGUUCUAUCUCCUAAUCUCGGAAAAAAGAUUUAUAACAAAGAGCAAACGAGAAAGCUAUUCAACCCAUUUGUAGGGAUUGGGACUGAUGUUGCUAGCGAAGCUGGUGAACGUGCCACCAAAGGUAUUGGUAAAGAAUUUUUAGGUGAGACCGGCAAAGCAAUUCCAGAUGUUGGUAUCAAUGUUGCUCAAGAGAAAUUGUCUGGAGUCGUUUCUGUUAGUACUGGCUUUAACAUUUGGAUUGGUGUUGCCAAUUUUGCUGCUAUUGCCCUGAUCAAUUCCUUCUAGGUCACUAUUGAAAUGUUUUAUUUUAUUCCAAUUAUAUAUGAGGUUUUUAUUAAAUCUGUGUUGAUUAAUGUUUGGAUGAUUGUGGAUUUGUGAUUUAAACCAAUUUUUGUUAGUAAAUUAUAUAAUAUCAAAUGAGUAUAUGAAUGAAUAUAUUUCUGAAUAGCGACAUCAAUCUAACAUGUUUGUAUCUCUUCAUAGUUGGAUUUGAAGAUAUAUUGUCUGUAAAAAUAGAGCAUGCUUGUCCCUUACCUGUUAUAUCCUUGUUGAUCCAUACCCUUUUGAUCAAGAAUGAGGAUUUUAGGGUAUAAAAAAUUUAUGAUGCCAAUGACAACUUUAACAAUCACAACCACUAGAUCAGAAGUACAAUACCUAGAGCGCUUGAUCGAGAACGUAGAGAUUGAGUAAAAUGAGAAGAGAGGGAUCAAGGACGCACGAUUUUGAAACUAGGGUUUUCUGGUUGCAAAUUUUGAGUUAAGAAAAUGUGCAACGGAAAAAAAGAUGUAAAGUUAGGUUAUUAUAUGUUUGUAUUUAUAUGACAUUCUAUUGGGCUUGAACACUAAUAACAUAAUUAAGAACAUUAAGAUUAACAAUAAUACAAUAUACUUCAAUAGCUAAUAUGAGACUUCAAUAUGAUAAGAUUGAUAUCUUAGCUAGAUUGCAUUCUCUAUCGAAAUCAAUAUGAAAAUGCAGAUUUCUACCCAACUUGUUAAACUUUCAGAAGUUUUGUUGACACUUCCUAUUAAUUCUAUGUUUCAAAAGAUUAUCCGUGUUCUAAACUUCUAAUAUAUUGGAAAAUAUGAGUUGGCAUCACAAGUUUCGUAAGAAAGAUGGAAAAUAUCGUCAUCCUGCUGAUGCAUUACAUUAGGCAAGAUUUGACAAUCUUCAUCCUGAUUUUUCUAACGAAUUACGAAACCUUAGACUUGGACUAGUAAGCGAUUGAUUCAAAAACCUUUUAAUUAUUAUGAUAUAAUCUUUAUUAAAACUUUCCAUAUUUUGCUUGUACAAAAUAUGACAACUUUGUCUUUUUUUUUUAAAGUAUAAUUUGCCAUCCUCGAUCGUAUGUUCUAAACUCCUCAAUGCAUGUUUUCACAUUGUUUACCAAAGAGCUGGUACCCUUACACUUUUGUUUAAGCGAUUAAAUUUUAUUAAAAUAAAGGGCAAUGUCCAUGGUAUCCUUACACUUAUCUCCACAAUCAUUAGUACAAUCAGUCUUCAGUUCAUAACAAGGUCCGAAAAGUGGAUCGCAACACCAUUUUGACAUAGGUGGAGGAUCACUAACUUCCAUUGGUUUCGUCAUCACUCUACCUAUAAAUAUAAAAAUCAGAUUUGAUAAAUAUUAAUUUCAAUGAUUUACGAUCAAUAGAGAAUUUCGAAGAGUGAGCGUUUUAAUUUACCUUGUUGGAGAGAAACGAGAUUAACCAAUAUGAAUAAGAACACGAAUAAUUUCGCAAAACCCAUUUUGACAGUAUUCAGAAGAUUUAUUCUUGAUUUGUAUAUUUAACUUUGCCUUUGAAAUGGUGAAUGUUUGAAAUGGAUUAAUCCAUGGAUAUUUAUAAAGGAAAUAAUUAAAUCCUAUGAUUUUCUAUGCCCUUCAAAUCAUUAAUGAUAGAUUUUCUUGUCAUAUCAGUAUUCUAAAUUUAGAACUUAGAAAAGAAUCCAAUAUAAUCCAAAAGAAUCAAGUUUGGGCUAAAUUUAGAAUAAUGAAAUGACAAAAAUAAUCUAUCAUAUUAAUUUGAAGGUCAUAGAAAAUUAUAUAAUAUUUAAUUUUUUCAUCUAUAAAACCAUGGAUUAAUCCUUUCAUUCAACAUUUCAAAGUCUAAAUUGAAUCUACAAGUCAAGAAUAAAUCUUCUGAAUACUGAAAACAUGAGUUUUGCGAAAAAAAUCAUAUUCUUCUUCAUUUUCGUCAAUCUCGUUUUUCUCCCACAAGGUAAAUCAGUCAUUCUUUUGCUCGAAAUUCAUAUAGAUGUAUGAUAAAAUCAUCAUCGAGAUUAAUAUUUAUCAAACAUGUCUUUGUAUGUCAAUCUAUAGGUAGAGUGAUGACGAAAUCCAAGGAAAGUAUUGAUCAACUCGUCCCAAAAUGGUGCUGCAGUAGACUUUUGUGGGAUACAUGUUACCCAUAUGAGGCUGAGUGUCACGAUGAUUGUAGAGAUAGAUGUCAUCGCGGCCAGGUUUUUUAAAAUGUUCAAAAUAUCCAAGAGUAAAGAACACAUGUUUGCUUGUUUUUUAGAAGAAAAUAAGCCCACAUGAUCAUUUACUACAAGAGAAAAUAAUUUUAAUAAAGAUCGUGUUCCAUUAUAACUUCAAGUUUAGCUUUCACUUUGAUUUUUAUCCAUAAGGGUUAGGUUGUAACUCUUUUUUUUGAUAACAUAGGAUACCUUUUUAUUAAUAGAAAAAUCUACCUUCAAGUGAUAUAUUAAAGCCACAUAUAUAUAUCAUCAUUCAUCGGUUAAAAUAUAGUAAAAAUUAAAUAAAAAUUACGUAUACAGCGAGAAUAAAACCAUGGACCUUCAAAAAGCUUUAAUAUUUGUAUAGAGAAAUUUUAAAAAAGGAUUAACCUCCUUCUCUUAGAGAUAAUCGUCUGAAAGGAAUUUGGUGAGCAAUUGAUCACCAUGUGAUUUUAAGCAUAUGAACAUUUUAUGUAACAUAAUUGAUAAAUUUAUGUAGCAAGGUAUAAAGCUCUACUUCGUCAUCCAAAGAUGCAUUCCUCAAGCUCUACUCCGUCAUCCAAAUUUUGAACUUCCACUCCUUCAUUUGAGACCUCCAAGUGUUCAAAAUCUUUCUUGCUUCCAAGCUCCCAAGUUGCUCAAGCUUCAAAAAGCUUGAAUUACUACGUCCAGACCCUUAUAACUAUUAAAUUCCUGUUGCAGAGAGUCCGUCAGAAGCAAUGUGAGCAAACGCCUAAGUCCGGGAGCGAUUUGGAUGCAUGAGGAGACCGGAGACGUUUCUAGGAUUUUCCGCCUACUAGAGGUUGGGCAUUUAACAAUAUAAACUACCACUAACGAGCGCAAGUGAGAAGGUUUAGAGUAAAGAGGAGUUUUAGUUAAUCUGCAUGAUUAACUGAGUGUAUUGUAUUGAAUUAAUUAAGUGUAAUUACAUUGUUGUAUAUAUACACAUUAACUACUAAUAUUUUACAUUUACUGAAUAACCGAAUUAACUAAUUAAUUUAUAUUUAUAUUUGGGCUGGACUCCUCUGAUCUUGAUCCAUGGUCCAGUUGCUCAACAGUUAUUUCGGUUGAGGAUAUUCCUGCAAAGAUACAUACAAGAUUAGAAAUAACAAUCAGGUCAUUGUUUGACCUGGUUUGUAUUUUGGGUAUUUUACUCAAUAUUUAUUUUAUAAUCUUUAUGUAUCAAAACUUUAUUUAAUAGUUGAAUAUUUAUGAAUUGAUCCUUUUAUAAAAACAACUAUAGUUAUAAAACGUUUUAUGAUAACCUUUUAUUUGUUUUUAUUACUUUAAGGUCCAAACAAUGUUUUCCUGAAACAUUUGCGAAUAGAACCUUGUUGGUUAAAAAACAAAACGGUUUAUUCCGUUUUGUCAUAACCUUUAGGUUCUAUUUAUUACACUUAGACCCUAAGUUUAUAUCCUGUGGUAAAUUGCUACUUUUACCUUAGAUUUUAAUAUAAUCUUAUACUCUCCCCUCAAGCCUUGGAAUACAUGUCAUGAAUUCCUAGCUAGAAUGUUGAAAUUUCAUGCUCUCCUAGGGAUUUAGUAAAAAUAUCUACAAGUUGGUAUUUUGUGCCAACUUGUUUCAAGAUAAUUAUCCCUUUAUCUAUUAUUUCUCUUAUGAAGUGACAUGUGAUUUCUAUAUGCUUGCUCCUCUCAUGAAACACUGGGUUAUUGGCAAGAUAUAUUGCUGAUUUAUUGUCACAGUAUAAUGAGGUUGGAGUUGUUGAUGGGGGUGAAACCCGACCAGUACUCCAAGACGCGCAAGCAAGCGCCAAGCGGGGAACUCCGCGGGAAACCGGACCGGAACUCAAGUGUGCAGAGCUUUGCUUCGCUAGGAAUCCUUCUUCUCCAAAUGACUUGCCUUUAAUGAGUGGGGGGUGCCCUCUAUUUAUAGGGGUUCUUAUGGGGGCAAUAUGGUCAUUUGGGCAGUAACCGCCUAACUGCCAAACUGAUCAGAUUGGGUCCCAGGAUCGACUUUCAAGAGAUCGACUUUCUGGGGGUCGACUUUCCUGGUGAUCGACUUUAUUCAGAAGUCGAUCCCAGGGAACUCGAUUCUCAGGAAAGUCGAUCUUCCUAGGAUUCGACCUGGGACCUCCCCAACCCUAGAAUAGAUACCUUAACUCAUCUUAGGCUAUCCGGACUUCUAGUUGCUGGUAGGUUGUGACCGUGUUCGGGAUACUGUAUCACCAGUACUCCCCCCUCCUCUGCGUAUUAGAUACUUUGGGAUACGUCUUUUAGUACUAUGGUCUGUGUGUCGGACCUUGUACUAUCAGUUGUUAUGUUCAACUUUAAAUCUUUAAAGAGUUGAUGUAGCCAUAAUAAUUGACAUUGAGCUUUACUGAUGGCUCUAUAGUCUGCUUCACAGGAUGAGAGUGAAACAGUAUUUUGCUUCUUGGAUUUCCAAGAAAUUAAUGAUGUUCCUAAGAACAUACAAUAGCCUGAUAGUGACUUUCUACAAAUUAAGCAUGAAGCCUAGUCUAAGUCACAAUACCCAUGAAGGACCAUUUGGUUUUGGCUUUUGUAUAAGAUGCCCUGUCCAGGGGCAUUUUUCAGGUAUCUUAUCACCUUAAACCGUACUUGAUCAGAUGAAUUUCAUUUGGGUUUCCCAUGAAUUGGCUCAGCCAAUGGACAGGGAAGCUCAAGUCAGGUCUAGUGAUAUUUAAAUAUAUCAGUUUACCCACUAAUGACCUAUAAAAGGUUGGGUCUGUAAUUAAAACCUUGGCAUUUUUAUUUCUUAGAUUUACAUGCCUUUCCAUGGGUAUUUUUGAUGGUUUUGCAUCGAUCAAAGCACUCUCUUCUAGAAUGCCUAAUGCAUACUUUCUUUGAGAUUAUGUAUAUCCCUUCUGGUGGAUAUGAGACUUCUAUUCCUAAGAAAUAAGAUAGUCUUCCUAAAUCCUUAAUUUUGAAGUUUUUUCAAUAUUGUUUUAAAUUAAGAAAACUUCUGUUUCAUUGUUGCCUGUAGUGAUGAUAUCAUCAACAUAUACCAAUAGGUAUAUUAGAUUUCCAUUGUUGUUCUUAACAAACAAGGAGUAAUCAGAGGGUGUUUGGGAAAAAUUCAUUUCAAGUAGAACUCCCCUUAAUUUAGCAAACCAAUUCCUAAAAGCUUGUUUUAAGCCAUAUAAAGAUUUGUUUAGUGAUGGGGGUGAAACCCGACCAGUACUCCAAGACGCGCAAGCAAGCGCCAAGCGGGGAACUCCGCGGGAAACCGGACCGGAACUCAAGUAUGCAGAGCUCUGCUUCGCUAGGAAUUCUUCUUCUCCAAAUGACUUGCCUUCAAUGAGUGGGGGGUGCCCUCUAUUUAUAGGGGUUCUUAUGGGGGCAAUAUGGUCAUUUGGGUAGUAACCGCCUAACUGCCCAACUGAUCAUAUUAGGUCCAGGGGUCGACUUUCCAGAGAUCGACUUUCUGGGGGUCGAUUUUUCCUGGUGAUCGACUUUACUCAAAAGUCGAUCACAGGGAAGUCGAUCCUCAGGAAAGUCGAUCUUCCUAGGAUUCGACCUGGGACCUCCCCAACCCUAGAAUAGAUACCUCAACUCAUCUUAGGCUAUCCGGACUUCUAGUUGCUGGUAGGUUGUGACCGUGUUCGGGAUACUGUAUCACCAGUACUCCCCCCUCCUCUGCGUAUUAGAUACUUUGGGAUACGUCUUUUAGUACUAUGGUCUUUUAGUACUAUGGUCUUUCUGCGAUAGGGGCUGAGUGUGCUUCCUCGUCUACCCACGUUCAUCCGUGGGUGAGGACUAUUACUUGAAUACUUGGCCCCUCCUUUUGCUCGCCUUUUUGCGACUGAGGCUAAGUGUGAUUCCUCGUCUACCCACGUUCAUCCGUAGGUGAGGAUUGUUGUUUGAAUACUUGCCCCCUCCUUUUGCUCGCCUUUUUGCGACUGAGGCUAAGUGUGACUCCUCGUCUACCUACGUUCAUCCGUAGGUGAGGAUUGUUCUUUGAAUACCUGCCCCCUCCUUUUGCUCGCCUUUUUGCGACUGAGGCUAAGUGUGACUCCUCGUCUACCUACGUUCAUCCGUAGGNNNNNNNNNNNNNNNNNNNNNNNNNNNNNNNNNNNNNNNNNNNNNNNNNNNNNNNNNNNNNNNNNNNNNNNNNNNNNNNNNNNNNNNNNNNNNNNNNNNNNNNNNNNNNNNNNNNNNNNNNNNNNNNNNNNNNNNNNNNNNNNNNNNNNNNNNNNNNNNNNNNNNNNNNNNNNNNNNNNNNNNNNNNNNNNNNNNNNNNNNNNNNNNNNNNNNNNNNNNNNNNNNNNNNNNNNNNNNNNNNNNNNNNNNNNNNNNNNNNNNNNNNNNNNNNNNNNNNNNNNNNNNNNNNNNNNNNNNNNNNNNNNNNNNNNNNNNNNNNNNNNNNNNNNNNNNNNNNNNNNNNNNNNNNNNNNNNNNNNNNNNNNNNNNNNNNNNNNNNNNNNNNNNNNNNNNNNNNNNNNNNNNNNNNNNNNNNNNNNNNNNNNNNNNNNNNNNNNNNNNNNNNNNNNNNNNNNNNNNNNNNNNNNNNNNNNNNNNNNNNNNNNNNNNNNNNNNNNNNNUCUUCCGUAGGUGGGGUUCACUUUUGAGUACAUCCCUCGUCUAACACUACGUUUCCUUAGGUGAGGUUCACUCUUGAGUACAUCCCUCGUCUAACACUACGUUUCCGUAGGUGAGGUUCACUCUUUAACCGAUGUGUUCCCCGUCUAACCUACGUUCUUCCGUAGGUGGGGUUCACUUUUGAGUACAUCCUUCGUCUAACACUACGUUUCCGUAGGUGAGGUUCACUCUUGAGUACAUCCCUCGUCUAACACUACGUUUCCGUAGGUGAGGUUCACUCUUUAACCUUGGAUGGGAUACGCAUCCUGACUCUGUUACCAUUAAGACUUUCUCUGCCCACGUUCUUCCGUAGGUAGAGUUAAUUUGGCGUCCUACUUUGUUACUGCGUCCAGUAAUGGUAGGAGUUCAAAUAUCUUUAUAUGGCUCAGCUCAUUUUGCUGUCGUAUCGCCGCCCGAGUUGUGGACUUCCACGAUUCCUCAGGAGCAUUUCAUGUUACACCCUCCUGUCUUGGUGUGUCUCCGCAACUCCAACUUGUCUGGGUUCUUUUUUUUCUGCACCCCUUUUAUGUGGGAAGAAAAAGUCGAUCCCUUGUUGAUUCUGCUCGACUUUUGCGAAAUGUCGAUCCCUUAUCGAGUUUGGUCGACUUUUGCGAAAUGUCGAUCCCUUGUUGAGUUUGGUCGACUUUUGUCAAAAAGUCGAUUCCUGAUGCUUUUGGUCAAAAGUCGAUCCCUUGUGUUAAAAAGUCGAAUUCGUCAUUUUUUGUCCUUUUGUGAUGUCCUAGGGUCUAUAAAUAGGACCCCUAGGUUCUCCUUUUCCUUCAUCCAUGGCUCUUCUUGUGAGUCUCUUUGCUGAUUUUUUUUUUCAGGGAGAGAUUGAGGAGCUGGAUCGAAUUUUGAAUAUUUUGGAUCCUCGGUCGUCAACCUUGGACCUUCCUUCUCUGCGCCAGCUUAUUGUUGAGCGGCAGAGUGUUGCUGUUGCUGCUAGGGAAUCAAUUUUUGAAGAAUGGUCUGGUGGCGAUCUUCCGCCCGCCUCUUCUUCUGUUGUCCCUCCUCGUGGCCGACGUCGGAGGCGUCCCCGUCGCGGUGCUUCCCCGCUGGAUCAGGUCACUCGCCGCUUACGUCGCCGCAUCAAUUUUCAUUAGGAACCUGUAAUAUUUUUCAUUCAUCAUUUUUUGUAACUUUGAAUAAAUAUACUUUUACCUUUUCCUUUAUUCGACUUACACCUUUACUUUGAAGUACGUUAGUGUAACCGAUGCUUUCUUUUGGUCAAUACCAUAUUCUUUUGUCCUUUUCUGAAGAUGUCGGAUUUUUGACAACGAGUCGAUCUCAUUUCUCCCUGGAAAUGUCGACGUUGUUCAAAAAGUCGAUCUCAUCUUUUUCUGAGGAUGUCGAUGACUGCCGAUCCUUUUCUGAAGAUGUCUGGUUUCUGACAACAAGUCGAUCUCAUUUCUCCCUGGAAAUGUCGAUGUUGCCCAAAAAGUCGAUCUCAUCUUUUUCUGAGGAUGUCGAUCAGAGUAGUACGGAAUGUCNNNNNNNNNNNNNNNNNNNNNNNNNNNNNNNNNNNNNNNNNNNNNNNNNNNNNNNNNNNNNNNNNNNNNNNNNNNNNNNNNNNNNNNNNNNNNNNNNNNNNNNNNNNNNNNNNNNNNNNNNNNNNNNNNNNNNNNNNNNNNNNNNNNNNNNNNNNNNNNNNNNNNNNNNNNNNNNNNNNNNNNNNNNNNNNNNNNNNNNNNNNNNNNNNNNNNNNNNNNNNNNNNNNNNNNNNNNNNNNNNNNNNNNNNNNNNNNNNNNNNNNNNNNNNNNNNNNNNNNNNNNNNNNNNNNNNNNNNNNNNNNNNNNNNNNNNNNNNNNNNNNNNNNNNNNNNNNNNNCGACGCCUAUCCCCCUUCUGGGAAUGUCGAACUCACUUUUCUGUGGAAUGUCGAUCCUAUCCUUCUCUUUUGAAGGCAUCGAAUUCCUUGUCAAAUGUCGACGCCUAUCCCCCUUCUGGGAAUGUCGAACUCACUUUUCUGUGGAAUGUCGAUCCUGUCCUUCUCUUUUGAAGGCAUCGAAUUCCUUGCCAAAUGUCGACGUCUAUCCCCCUUUUUUGGGAAUGUCGAACUCUGAGGUCGACUUCCCUGGGAUCGACUUCUGAGGUCGACUUUCCUUAUGUUGCUAGUCCGAUUCCCUGAAGUCCGGAUCGACUUUUCUUGGGAUCGACUUUUGUUAUAACUUGGGCUGACUGCUAUGUUCUUCGUGCAGGUUCACAAUGUCUUCUGACAAGAAUUCGCAGCAAGAUCUUCCUCUUGAUGAGGAUCGGGCUAUUGUUACCAGCCCUCAGACUUCUCACGCUGUUACUGCCGUAAUAGAGCCUGUUCCCAUCGAGGUUCAGGUUCGGGAUG
This 28013-nucleotide long non-coding RNA is filed under the name Zostera marina. RNAcentral describes it as "long non-coding RNA (ZMAR_LNC000996)". Lineage: Eukaryota; Viridiplantae; Streptophyta; Magnoliopsida; Alismatales; Zosteraceae. The record is from RNAcentral.